This 30-nucleotide non-coding RNA is filed under the name Mus musculus (house mouse). The record is from RNAcentral. Lineage: Eukaryota; Metazoa; Chordata; Mammalia; Rodentia; Muridae.
UUCCAGUCGAUGUGAUGGAUAUUGUUGACA